This 391-nucleotide ribosomal RNA is filed under the name Thalassiosira sp. RNAcentral describes it as "partial small subunit ribosomal RNA". It matches the Rfam family "Eukaryotic small subunit ribosomal RNA", at positions 583 to 975 of the family's 1831-position model. Lineage: Eukaryota; Bacillariophyta; Thalassiosirophyceae; Thalassiosirales; Thalassiosiraceae. The record is from RNAcentral.
UUCCAGCUCCAAUAGCGUGUAUUAAAGUUGUUGCAGUUAAAAAGCUCGUAGUUGGAUUUCUGGCAGGAGCGACCGGUCACACACUCUGUGUGUGAACUUGCGUUGUCUCUGGCCAUCCUCGGGGAGAUCCUGUUUGGCAUUAAGUUGUCGGGCAGGGGAUACCCGUCGUUUACUGUGAAAAAAUUAGAGUGUUUAAAGCAGGCUUAUGCCGUUGAAUAUAUUAGCAUGGAAUAAUAAGAUAGGACUUCGGAACUAUUUUGUUGGUUUGCGUUACGAAGUAAUGAUUAAUAGGGACAGUUGGGGGUAUUCGUAUUUCGUUGUCAGAGGUGAAAUUCUUGGAUUUCCGAAAGACGAACUACUGCGAAAGCAUUUACCAAGGAUGUUUUCAUCA